Small nucleolar RNA from Arabis alpina (gray rockcress), 145 nucleotides. It matches the Rfam family "Plant small nucleolar RNA U3". From Rfam's summary of the family: Small nucleolar RNAs (snoRNAs) are involved in the processing and modification of rRNA in the nucleolus. There are two main classes of snoRNAs: the box C/D class, and the box H/ACA class. The record is from Rfam. Lineage: Eukaryota; Viridiplantae; Streptophyta; Magnoliopsida; Brassicales; Brassicaceae.
ACGACCUUACUUGAACAGGAUCUGUUCUAUAGGCUCGUACCUCUGUAUCCUUGAUUUCUAAGGAGACAGGCCCUUAACCCUGGAGGAUCGUUACUCGGCUUGGUCUAAUCCUUGCCGGGGUGGUCGCACGGCGGUCUGACAGGUU